AGAAGUUGUAUUUAGAUACUUCGGUUGAAAAAUAUAAUGGAUAGCGGCGGACGGGUGAGUAACGCGUAGGUAACCUGCCCUAUACAGAGGGAUAGCCACUGGAAACGGUGAUUAAUACCUCAUGAUACUUAAGAAACACAUGUUUUUUAGGUCAAAGAUUUAUCGGUAUGGGAUGGACCUGCGUCUGAUUAGUUAGUUGGUGAGGUAACGGCUCACCAAGGCAACGAUCAGUAGCCGACCUGAGAGGGUGAUCGGCCACAUUGGAACUGAGACACGGUCCAAACUCCUGCGGGAGGCAGCAGUGGGGAAUAUUGCACAAUGGAGGAAACUCUGAUGCAGCAACGCCGCGUGAAUGACGAAGGCCCUUGGGUCGUAAAAUUCUGUUCUGAGGGAAGAAGAAAGUGACGGUACCUCAGGAGAAAGCCCCGGCUAACUACGUGCCAGCAGCCGCGGUAAUACGUAGGGGGCAAGCGUUGUCCGGAAUUAUUGGGCGUAAAGAGUAUGUAGGCGGUCAUAUAAGCGUAAGGUGAAAGGCAUAGGCUCAACCAAUGUCAGCCUUAGGAACUGUAUGACUUGAGUGCAGGAGAGGAAAGCGGAAUUCCUAGUGUAGCGGUGAAAUGCGUAGAUAUUAGGAGGAACACCGGUGGCGAAGGCGGCUUUCUGGACUGUAACUGACGCUGAGAUACGAAAGCGUGGGUAGCAAACAGGAUUAGAUACCCUGGUAGUCCACGCCGUAAACGAUGAGCACUAGGUGUCGGGAUCGUAGAUUUCGGUGCCGCAGUUAACGCAAUAAGUGCUCCGCCUGGGGAGUACGCUCGCAAGAGUAAACUCAAAGGAAUUGACGGGGACCCGCACAAGC
RNAcentral lists this ribosomal RNA (859 nucleotides) under uncultured bacterium. RNAcentral's name for it is "bacterial SSU rRNA". It matches the Rfam family "Bacterial small subunit ribosomal RNA", at positions 59 to 930 of the family's 1533-position model. The record is from RNAcentral.